UAUGGCGUCAAAACCGAUCCAAAAGACGAACGAGCACUAAAUGGCGCGGGCGAGCAAGAUGAAGCGUCAUUGCAUGAGCAAACACUGAGUCGAGAGAGAAGAAAAUGGUCAAGCCAGCAGAGGACGGGUACCGCGAGUGCACAGGACUGUCAAGAGUUUAAAAGCGCGACUUUAAGAAAGGUCAUCCAAAAACAGACUCUGGACCAGCAGUUGGAGCCAACCUCUAUCUGAACCAACCAGCAGACAAGAGAACACGGAACACCAAGCCGCGCUGUGAAAACAAUGAUUCAUUUUCGGAACAAAAAGAGCAGGUGCAGGCACAUAUCAACUACCGUAGUAUAAACUCUUCACAGAAUAAAAAAUACAAAUUCUGACUUAACCUCUUGUACAAAUUAAGGAUUUAUUUCAAAUAAAUUAAUUCACCUUCAUAGAUCAUUGUCAUAGUAGUAAUAAUAGCAUCAAUAUAGAAAUAUCCCUUCAGGUAAGCGAAGUCGAGGCCAAAGUCUGAUUGGUUUACCACUAAAAGGACAUCUUUCAGCCUGACUUGUCAAACGAAGUAGAAUGAUAAAUAUGGUUUCCUUCAGUCACCAAGAUUAUUAAUUUAAUAAUGAAUAGGAAUAAACUGUCCCAGACACAGCUCUUAGGUAAUGUAGGUUUUUGCCCUAGAAUGACUAGGGUUGGGACCGGGACAGGUAGGCUGACCCUAGAUCUGCGCCUACAG
Oncorhynchus kisutch (coho salmon) is the source of this 721-nucleotide long non-coding RNA. RefSeq lists it as uncharacterized. The transcript has 2 exons. The record is from RefSeq and is a predicted model, not a curated record. NCBI's taxonomy places the organism in Eukaryota, Metazoa, Chordata, Actinopteri, Salmoniformes, Salmonidae.